GGCGGCGUGCUUAACACAUGCAAGUCCGACGAGAAAGUCCCUUCGGGGAUGAGUAAAGUGGCGCACGGGUGAGUAAUACGUGGGUAACCUACCUUUAUGCCAGGGGAUAACAUCUCGAAAGGGGUGCUAAUACCUGAUAAGACCACGUUGCGGAUGCAACGAGGUAAAAGAUGGCCUCUGACUCAAGCUAUCGCUUAGAGAUGGGCCCACGGCCUAUCAGCUUGUUGGCGGGGUAAAGGCCCACCAAGGCUCUGACGGGUAGCCGGCCUGAGAGGGUGAACGGCCACACUGGAACUGAGACACGGUCCAGACUCCUACGGGAGGCAGCAGUGGGGAAUUUUGCGCAAUGGGCGAAAGCCUGACGCAGCAACGCCGCGUGAGGGACGAAGGCCUUCGGGUUGUAAACCUCUUUUAAUUGGGAAGAACCUCGCCCCUGCAAAUGGUGGGGGCGACUGACGGUACCAAUAGAAUAAGCCACGGCUAACUCUGU
RNAcentral lists this ribosomal RNA (490 nucleotides) under uncultured bacterium. RNAcentral's name for it is "bacterial SSU rRNA". It matches the Rfam family "Bacterial small subunit ribosomal RNA", at positions 38 to 506 of the family's 1533-position model. The record is from RNAcentral.